This 440-nucleotide ribosomal RNA is filed under the name uncultured bacterium. Its description in RNAcentral is "partial 16S ribosomal RNA". It matches the Rfam family "Bacterial small subunit ribosomal RNA", at positions 338 to 795 of the family's 1533-position model. The record is from RNAcentral.
CCUACGGGUGGCAGCAGUGAGGAAUAUUGGUCAAUGGGCGGAAGCCUGAACCAGCCAAGUCGCGUGGGUGAAGAAGCGCCUCGGCGCGUAAAGCCCUGUCAGCAGGGAAGAAAAUGACGGUACCUGAAGAAGAAGCCCCGGCUAACUACGUGCCAGCAGCCGCGGUAAUACGUAGGGUGCGAGCGUUAAUCGGAAUUACUGGGCGUAAGGGGUGUGCAGGCGGUUUUGCAAGAUGGAUGUGAAAGCCCCGGGCUUAACCUGGGAAAGCCAUACAUGACUGCAAGACUAGAGUGCGUCAGAGGGGGGUGGAAUUCCAAGUGUAGCAGUGAAAUGCGUAGAUAUUUGGAAGAACACCGAUGGCGAAGGCAGCCCCCUGGGACGCAACUGACGCUCAUACACGAAAGCGUGGGGAGCAAACAGGAUUAGAUACCCUUGUAGUC